RNAcentral lists this long non-coding RNA (602 nucleotides) under Homo sapiens (human). RNAcentral describes it as "long non-coding RNA NONHSAT060178.2". Lineage: Eukaryota; Metazoa; Chordata; Mammalia; Primates; Hominidae. The record is from RNAcentral.
ACACACGCCCAGACCUGCCUUCCGGGGACAGCCAGCCCUCGCUGGACCAGACCAUGGCCGCGGCCUUCGCCUCUCCGUAUGCAGGAGCUGGUUUCCCUCCCACCUUUGCCAUUCCUCAAGCUGCAGGUAUUCAAACGCUUGGUCUUGGUUCCCCAGCGACUGCAUGCCCACACCACCUUCCCAGGCAGCUCCGCAUCCACGGCGGCAGCCUGGGCGGACUGGGCACUCGAGUGCCAGGUCAGGGGCCCUUCCCGGGAGAGGGGACGCCACGUCCACAGAGCAGGCUUGGCCAGGGCAGUGGUAGGACAGGGCUGUGGAGGCCCACGUGUGGACGGCGCCAGCCAGAAGCCGCUAAUCGCACAGUCUUUGUGGUCUGGUUCCCUUCAAGCACCUCCGGGCGAGCGCGAGGACCGCCAGUGGUUGGAGGGAUGUCUCUAGUAGUUGAAUUUGAGUGGCCUGGUAAGCGCGCGGCCCGAGGCUGAGCAGCAUGACCGGCGGCGGGACGUGUGUGCGUGGCCGUCCUCCCGCUUCCCUUCUGGGACCGGGGCCCGGCCGCCCCAGUGCUGGCCGUGGACGGAGCAGCGCGUGCCGCCCGGCGGCCG